GUGCCUACGGGAGGCAGCAGUGGGGGAUAUUGCACAAUGGGGGGAACCCUGAUGCAGCGACGCCGCGUGGGCGAUGGAGCGCCUCGGCGCGUAAAGCCCUAUCAGCAGGGAAGAAGAUGACGGUACCUGACUAAGAAGCCCCGGCUAAAUACGUGCCAGCAGCCGCGGUAAUACGUAUGGGGCAAGCGUUAUCCGGAUUUACUGGGUGUAAAGGGCGUGUAGGCGGGAAAGCAAGUCAGAUGUGAAGACCAUGGGCUCACACUGUGGCCUGCAUUUGAGACUGUUUUUCUUGAGUCCUGGAGAGG
RNAcentral lists this ribosomal RNA (305 nucleotides) under uncultured bacterium. Its description in RNAcentral is "bacterial SSU rRNA". It matches the Rfam family "Bacterial small subunit ribosomal RNA", at positions 335 to 657 of the family's 1533-position model. The record is from RNAcentral.